CUGUUACGUGUCAUGAUCUAUAUAGCCUUUGUCUUCUUCAAACUCAUCUGGGUAAUUCAAUCGUUUCUACAGCUUCCGGUUCUCCUCUUCAACGUAUAUGUUCCUGUAUUUAUUGCAAAAAUCCUAACAGUUUCGGAAACCAAAUUAUCAUCUCGCAACACCUCUGAUCAUCUCAAGGUAUAAACCUUUUACUCUAGCCUCUCUCCCUCUCUCUAUCUUAUUAUAGCUUGAUCCCAUGCGCGAGCGAGCAUCACUGAGAGGAGGAGCGCGUAGAAGAUUGUAGAGAUGGACAAAUCAGUGAAACGAAAAGACCAUAUUGACAAGAUUUUCAAAGAAGACUCUUUAUCUCCAAAUUAAGAUUAUUCAAUCUCCAAAUCAAAAAGGGAAAAAUCUCUCUCUUUCCAAGCUGAAUAUUUUACAGGUCGAUUGGGUAUGAUGGCUUUACUUCGGCUUGGAGAUGAUACAAUACUGCCACUACGUUUUCAUCCGGCUGCGUCAUCAGGUGUGGUUUCAUUUGUUUUCGGUGGUUAAUUGGCUGAGAUGAAGCUAGCAUUGGCCAAAACCUGGGUUUGAAGAUAACACAAGGGUGUUUGAUUGAGGCGGUAUGACGUGGUCAGUCAGCGCAACGAUCUAAUUCUUGAUGAGGCAGAUCAGAUAAUAGACAUGGGCUUGAGCCUUAGGUUGUUGGUGUGUUAGAUGUGAUGCCUUCAGGAAAUUUGAAACCCUAUAACAAAUAAGAAGAGGAGAGCUGUACGAAAAUAUGAUUUACAGAACUACAUAUAUGUAUCCUGGUGUAGAGCGGCUAGCUUGGAUUGGAAGUACUUGAAGAACCCGUUUGUUGUCAUCACUGAUACUGCAGGAAAUACGACCGAUUUGAUUUCGCAGCACGUGAUUAUGAUGAAAGAAUCUGAGAAAAUUCUUCAGAUUGCAGAAACUUCUCUUCUCGAUGAGCUAGGCGUUAAAACCGCCAUCUAUCUAUAUAUAUAUAUAUAUAUAAAUAUGUUUGCUUCUCUCCUAUGCUGCCACCUAGGAUGCCACGUCAGAAAAUUAAGCGUUCUGGAACUGACACGUGUUCAGAUAAGUAAAACUCUGCGUUUCAUUUAAUCGAGUUAUGUUUCGUUUGUUCACAUGUUAAUAGGCUUCUAAACAUUUAAUUGUCCCAACGGAGAGAGGUUGUCUUCCCCGAUGGGGUGACAAAAAAUUAAGGCUCGUGUCCUCUUCGAUCUACACCAGCUAUGGAGGAGAUAUGAUGAAUUGAGUGAAUCAAAUCGACGGGUGUUCAAGAAAAAAAGUGAAUCAAAUCGACGUGAAAAACCUUUGUGCCAAGCUUUAAUUGCGUCUUUUCGUCUUCUGUUGUAAUCUUCCAAAGCGUUACGUAACAACCUUCAUAAAUGAUUCCAUGAUU
This is a long non-coding RNA of Brassica oleracea var. oleracea, 1405 nucleotides long. RefSeq lists it as uncharacterized. Lineage: Eukaryota; Viridiplantae; Streptophyta; Magnoliopsida; Brassicales; Brassicaceae. The transcript has 2 exons. The record is from RefSeq and is a predicted model, not a curated record.